RNAcentral lists this ribosomal RNA (423 nucleotides) under uncultured archaeon. RNAcentral describes it as "partial 16S ribosomal RNA". It matches the Rfam family "Archaeal small subunit ribosomal RNA", at positions 323 to 746 of the family's 1478-position model. The record is from RNAcentral.
CUACGGGUCGCACCAGUCGCGGAACUUUUACAAUGCACGCAAGUGUGAUAAAGCAAGCCAAAGUGUUUUUCGUAUAGAAAAACUUUUUCUUAGUGUAAAAACCUAGGAGAAUAAGGACUGGGAAAGACUGGUGCCAGCCGCCGCGGUAAUACCAGCAGUUCAAGUUGCAUCCCUUUUUAUUGGGUCUAAAACAUCCGUAGCUUGCCGUUUAAGUCUCUUGUGAAAUCCUACGUCUCAAGCGUGGGGCUUGCAGGAGAUACUGGACGGCUAGAGAUCGGUAGACGUAAGGAGUACGCCGGGGGUAAUGGUAAAAUAUGUUAAUCCUCGGUGGACUAACAAUCAGCGAAGGCACCUUACGAGGACGAAUCUGACAGUGAGGGAUGAAGGCCAGGGGCGCAAAACGGAUUAGAUACCCGCGUAGUC